UUGAUUAUUCGGGCGGCAGGACCCAGGAAGCCGGUGUGAAUCCGGCACGGUCCCGCCACUGUGACCGGCCCCGUGGACACCCCGCGGCGCCGGAAGCCAGGAACUGACCUGCCGCCUUCUCCCGAC
This 126-nucleotide non-coding RNA is filed under the name Streptomyces sp. The record is from RNAcentral. Lineage: Bacteria; Bacillati; Actinomycetota; Actinomycetes; Kitasatosporales; Streptomycetaceae.